UACGAAGGGGGCUAUCGUUGUUCGGAAUUACUGGGCGUAAAGCGCACGUAGGCGGAUGUGCCAGUCAGGGGUGAAAUCCCGAGGCUCAACCUCGGAACUGCCUCCGAUACAGCACGUCUCGAGUCCGGAAGAGGUGAGUGGAAUUCCUAGUGUAGAGGUGAAAUUCGUAGAUAUUAGGAAGAACACCAGUGGCGAAGGCGGCUCACUGGUCCGGUACUGACGCUGGGGUGCGAAAGCGUGGGGAGCAAACAGG
This 253-nucleotide ribosomal RNA is filed under the name uncultured bacterium. RNAcentral describes it as "partial 16S ribosomal RNA". It matches the Rfam family "Bacterial small subunit ribosomal RNA", at positions 524 to 776 of the family's 1533-position model. The record is from RNAcentral.